Molecule: long non-coding RNA, 2347 nt
Filed under: Zea mays
Lineage: Eukaryota; Viridiplantae; Streptophyta; Magnoliopsida; Poales; Poaceae
Description: long non-coding RNA (ZMAY_LNC004946)
Source: RNAcentral
CCGCCGCUCGGGAUCAAACAGGGGAGGUGAGAGCAAAGCCGAGAGAAGAGGGUCGGGGCACUUCGCAGGAGGUCCCUGCAAGUCUUCAUAGUCGCGUCGGGGGGGAUUGUCAAAGGGCGAGCCGAGAAUUGGUCGCUGGAGUUCCAGCGCCGCCGCGAAGCUCUGCUUGUCGACGUCCGGCUCCUAUGCAACUCCACCGCCGGUGAGAACCAUAUACACUGCUAAACCAUGUCCCCAAUUUCGUGUUGCUCCGUUUAAUUUGAGUUUGGGGUCAUGGAGCGCCGGAUUGGGUUUCCUCCGGCCGGGUCGCCGCCGUGCUCGUGCCCCUGGGUGCUCGGGUGCUCGUGUGGGGGAGAAGAACAAGCCCUCGCCGUUGGAUCGUGAUGGACGGUCGCGAUUAGAGUUAGGCGUAUCCCUUCGCCGCAUGCUAUUGUGACCGUUGGAUCGUGUCCGGGUGCUCCAGAUUAGAAGUUUGGAGUGGUGCGCCUGGCGCCGUAGAUUUUAGAUCGAAUGGUGGAGGUUAGAUACCGGUUCGGAUGUGAUCCAAUCUAAUCUGGGCCGUCCGGAUCAGAUCGUGCGGCCCUAAUUUCUCCAUACCCCUUCGGCCCUGGAUUUCUUUCUAAAGAGACCCUAGAAAACUUAAGAAUCAACCCGCAGUCCUUGGGUGCUGUUCUUUGAGUCUAGGAAACAUUGCGCAGAGCCCCCUGCAGUCCUCUGGUUUUGUGCGCCCAGUCCAAGGAGUUAAGAAAUCAGAUAAAAGGAAUUAGAAAAUGAUUUUUAUGCAAAAAUAAAUGCUAGAAUUUGUUUAAUUCAUAGAAAAUGCAUACUAAGUCCAAAUUAAACCAUUUCAGUUUCUAUGAUUUUGUAAUAAUGUUGUUUAUCACCCUGUGUCUCUGUUUUAACAUGAAAAUGGUAUUAAAAUUUAUUUCCUAAUUAACCUCGUAUCAAAUACAUAAAACCUUAGGAAAUUCGUAUCUCCUCCGUUUUAACUCCGAUUUGAUCCGUUCAAGUUCCGUUAGUCUCGUAGCAACGCAUAGAUUAUUAUUAUUUAGUUGUUCUUAUGUUUGGUGUGAUGUUAAUUUUGCCUAUACCAUGUAUGUUUGUAUUACUACGACUAGCAGUGAGGUCACGAGAAUCUGAAGAUCAUCCUGGUACCUGGAAUCUCAAGUCUCAGGCAAGUUGUGCCCUUGAUCACUUCUUUUACCCACUCAUGUUCUAAUUAAUCAUAAUGAUCUGCAUAGGUUAAUUUUGAUGGGACCCAAUAGGUCACCCUAGUUUGUUUAUCCUGAAUACCUUGUUUACCCCUGAAUCACUUGGGUAGUUCUGCUACUGCUUUAUAUGGUUUUGGGUUAAUAUUUCAUUAUAUCUAUGUUCCAAUUAUGUUGUUAUUUCAUUUAUGUUCAUGACAAGAUCAUUAAAUGUUAAUUGGAACAUAGAGCUUAACUUGAGAAACACGUGCCACCACAAGGGUUUAUGGACGCCCUUGGCUGAUUAAUUAGGAAAGCUAGUGGAGGACUACCUUACCCGAAAGGGGCAAGGGCAGUAGGGGAGUGGUCAGUGUAGGGAGGCCCUCGGGAGGAUUUUGCUGCGAUGGCGGUCCUGCAAGGGAUUCCUGCAUUGGAGCUUCCUAUAAACUGUAGCGGGUUUUCUGAAGCUAGUGGAACUUUGUAAAGGCCUCGUAGUGUUACCCUGCCUCGCCUCCUCGGUAGAGGUGUAUGGGAAGUCGCGAUCCCUUGGCAGAUGGGUAACAUGACUUGUGGGUAAAGGGUACCACCUCUGCAGAGUGUAAAACUGGUAUACUAGCCGAGCUCGCGGUCAUGAGCAGCUCAGGACUCUCUGAUGAUUAAAUUAUGGAACUUAAAUUCAAUUUGUCAUAUGCAUUGCAUCGCAGGUGAUGUUGUUGUUACUUUUGUUCUACUACUUAAUUGGGUUGGUAUUUACUUAUACUUAGUAAUUGCUAAUAAAAUUUUGACCAACUUUAAAAGCAAUGCUCAGCUCUAACCAUCCUCUUUGGUAAGCCUUACACUUCACAUGAACUCCCACCUUUGGCGAGUUCAUUCACAUUAUUCCCCACAACUUGUUGAGCGAUGAACGUAUGUGAGCUCACCCUUGCUGUCUCACACCCCCCCACAGGUCAAGAACAGGUACCGCAGGAUGAGGCGCAUGGAGGAUGUUGCGAUGAGUUCGUGAGAGAGAUCUAGGCCGUCGUCUCCCAGUCAACUUUGGGUUGCUGGACCGUUGUCUCCUUUUGAUGUAAUUAUUUAUUUAUUUAUUUUGUAUAGAACUCCUGUUAUGUAGUAAAGAUGUGACAUUCGAUCCUGUGCCAUGAAUCAUCAUAUGUGUGAGA